AUGAGCGGCAUCUUCUUUUCUUUCUGCUCAAUCAGAUGUGGCUCCCUUCUUAUUCAACCUUAUCCUCUAAUGAGUGUCAACGAUCUACAACCACCAUCAUCACAACAAAGAUCGCUGCGAAUAUUCUUUGUUCGUGCUUCUUCGAGUUCCAACGAACCACACCGAUGCCUCACUCUUCAACUCAUUCUCAAUAUCACAGCCCGGAUCUAG
Non-coding RNA from Vicia faba (fava bean), 210 nucleotides. The record is from the annotation of a GenBank genome assembly. Lineage: Eukaryota; Viridiplantae; Streptophyta; Magnoliopsida; Fabales; Fabaceae.